Panicum virgatum (switchgrass) is the source of this 2242-nucleotide long non-coding RNA. RefSeq lists it as uncharacterized. NCBI's taxonomy places the organism in Eukaryota, Viridiplantae, Streptophyta, Magnoliopsida, Poales, Poaceae. The transcript has 3 exons. The record is from RefSeq and is a predicted model, not a curated record.
UCCAGUAUGUGCAUUCUCUGUUUCAAUAUUACAUAUACGAUAUUUUAGCUUUUGUGUUGACAUGAUGCUCUUUGCUACUAACAAAGCAUACACCCAUGAUAAUCGGGGAUGUACUUUCAAACGACGAAGGACACAUGCUGACACAGGGUCCUACAACCCUUUAAUAUCAAAUGCAGCUGACAACCGUGCUAAAAGAAUGAAAAUUUUAAAACAGAAACGGAAUCCUAAGACAGGUAUAAUAUAAUUAAGCUUAGUACUACUAAUACUCACUUCAAAUUUCAUUGAACUACAAAUUACUAACAUAUGGACCAUUUUUUAUCCCUGUAACUUUUACACUUACAAAUCCAUUCAUCGAUGGCCACCAUAUUUAUAUGUCACAUGAUACUAGACGUCUUAUCUGAAGCCAAGCCAUCUCGACAAUGCGGAUAUUUCACAUAGGAGUAUAUAGAUACACUAAAAGGUACUAUGAUGCAGACCUGCAUUUACUAUUUACCUAAUGUACCAUUAAAUUUGGUAAUCUCAAAAUAUUUAGUUCACGAUUAUAACCUCUUACUCUCUAAUUCUAUUUCCUCGUAAAUUAAUAAACCAUUUUUUUACAAAACAACUUUACUUCUCAUUUGAAAAAUACUUACUCACAAUGCAUAUGCAAAUACAGCUUCAUAUCCUGAAAGGUCUUUCUUGGGAUCCCCUGAUUAUGUGUGUAAACACUGUGAAGCUGUAUUCUGGUAUCAAGAACGCAUUAAAUCAGAUUCUUGUUACCGACAAAACAAAAUCACCUAUAAUUCUUGCUGCAAGGGAGGGGAGAUCAAAAUACCACCACAUCGCCCACGUCCUGAACCUUUGGCGUCACUGGCAAAAUAUGAUGGUGGUCCUAUGAGCAAUAAAUUCAUGCGUAAUAUUCGGCAAUACAACUGCUUAUUUGCUUUUACAUCAAUGGGAGCAAAUAUAGAUAGAACUAUCAACGACGGCCGUGGCCCUCCAAUAUUCAAGAUCCAUGGUCAGGUUCAUCAUCGAAUUGGCUCAUUAUUACCAUAUGAUGGAUCUCCACCGAAAUUCAUUCAGCUGUACAUAUAUGACACUUCUAAUGAAGUGCAAAAUUGAAUACGGGCUUUGCAUCCAUCUGAUCAGGGAGAUGAUCCUAUAGAUCCUUCUAUAGUUGAAAAGUUAAUUAAGAUGCUUGAUGAGCAUAAUCCAUUUGCUAAAAAAUUUAGAGCUGCACGGGACAGAUUACAAGGUUAUGAAAAUGAAGAAUUUGUUAUCAGAAUAGUGGGUGCCUCUGAAGGUGAUCCUGUGCAGUACAAUCUACCAACCACAGAUGAGCUGGCAAUGCUUGUAGUUGGUGAUUUCUCUCUUGAAACUUUUAAACGUGAUAUAAUAAUUGAGUCCAAAUCUGUUCAUUUGCACCAAAUUUCAAGUCUGCAUCCAGCAUAUAUGGCUCUUCAAUAUCCACUUUUAUUUCCCUUUGGUGAAAGAGGUUUUCAAGUUGGAGUUAUCUACAGUGGCACCGAGUCCAACAAACGCAAAAGGCGGUCCACAAUGACGAUGCAAGAUUAUUAUAGACAUCAAUUCCAUUAUAGAAAAGGCCAGCCUAAUCCUUACUUAUGUUAUGGUCUUCUUUCUAGUCAGGCUAAAGUUGACGCUAGAGCUGCAAUUGAUGAAAACAGACUCUGGUACAUUUUAAAAAACCAAGAUAAAUUCAGAAUAGAAAAUUUCCAAGGAAUAGCAGAUGCAGUGGGCCGUGGCUGUAAUAUUUUUUCUAUCAGGAUGAAGAAGAGUCACCAUCUGAGACAGCAACACUUAACAGGGAGAAUGUUGAUGAAAAAAGUUCUGAUCUACAAAGCUCUUCACAUCCAAAAGCAAUGUCGCCACUAGAGAAGCCCAGCACAACCAAGCUUCCAAAAACUCCCAAAAAAUAACAAUGUCAAGACAAGGAAAGACUGAGAAGCUGAUGAGCAACCAUCUGCAAGUGUUGCGCCAUUGCCUGAGCUUUGAUCAACUCGGCAAAAAAGAAUGAUCAGACCAAAAUUAUAUCUACUUCUCCAUUGCACUACUGCUAUAAACUACACUUUAUGUUAUGUACCUACGUAUUUCUAGAACUUAAGACAUUCUACUCGGUCUGCUUAUACCAGCUGACCAACUACCUAUUAUAUUGAUAACCUUAUUUAAACCAUCUAUUAUUGAAGAGUUAAACCUUAUUGAUAACUUUAUUUAAACAAUCUAUUAUAUUGAUCAUCUAUGCACA